Molecule: ribosomal RNA, 448 nt
Filed under: uncultured bacterium
Lineage: Bacteria
Description: SSU rRNA
Rfam family: Bacterial small subunit ribosomal RNA
Source: RNAcentral
AGAGCGAACGCUGGCGGCAGGCCUAACACAUGCAAGUCGAGCGCGUGUAGCAAUACACGAGCGGCAGACGGGAGAGUAACACGUGGGAACGCGCCCUUCGGUUCGGAAUAACUCAGGGAAACUUGAGCUAAUACCGGAUACGCCCUUACGGGGAAAGAUUUAUUGCCGAAGGAACGGCCCGCGUCCGAUUAGCUAGUUGGUGAGGUAACGGCUCACCAAGGCGACGAUCGGUAGCUGGUCUGAGAGGAUGACCAGCCUCACUGGGACUGAGACACGGCCCAGACUCCUACGGGAGGCAGCAGUGGGGAAUAUUGGACAAUGGGCGCAAGCCUGAUCCAGCCAUGCCGCGUGGAUGAUGAAGGCCUUAGGGUUGUAAAGUCCUUUUAACGGGGAAGAUAAUGACGGUACCGAGAUAAGAAGCCCCGGCUAACUUCGCGCCAGCAGCCGC